Molecule: transfer RNA, 75 nt
Filed under: Sicyopterus parvei
Lineage: Eukaryota; Metazoa; Chordata; Actinopteri; Gobiiformes; Gobiidae
Description: tRNA-Lys
Rfam family: tRNA
About the family: Transfer RNA (tRNA) molecules are approximately 80 nucleotides in length. Their secondary structure includes four short double-helical elements and three loops (D, anti-codon, and T loops). Further hydrogen bonds mediate the characteristic L-shaped molecular structure. tRNAs have two regions of fundamental functional importance: the anti-codon, which is responsible for specific mRNA codon recognition, and the 3' end, to which the tRNAs corresponding amino acid is attached (by aminoacyl-tRNA synthetases). tRNAs cope with the degeneracy of the genetic code in two manners: having more than one tRNA (with a specific anti-codon) for a particular amino acid; and 'wobble' base-pairing, i.e. permitting non-standard base-pairing at the 3rd anti-codon position.
Source: RNAcentral
CACUAAGAAGCUAAACAGGGCUAUAGCGUCAGCCUUUUAAGCUGAAAAUUGGUGCCCCCCAACCACCCUUAGUGA